AACGAACGCUGGCGGCAGGCCUAACACAUGCAAGUCGAGCGAGGUAGCAAUACCUAGCGGCGGACGGGUGAGUAACGCGUGGGAACGUGCCCCUUGGUACGGAAUAGCCCCGGGAAACUGGGAGUAAUACCGUAUGAGCUCUACGGAGGAAAGAUUUAUCGCCAAGGGAUCGGCCCGCGUUGGAUUAGGUAGUUGGUGGGGUAAUGGCCUACCAAGACGACGAUCCAUAGCUGGUUUGAGAGGAUGAUCAGCCACACUGGGACUGGGACACGGGCCAGACUCCAACGGGAGGCAGCAGUGGGGAAGCUUAGGCAAUGGGCGCAAGCUUGAUCUAGCCAUGCCGCGUGAGCGAUGAAGGCCUUAGGGUUGGAAAGCUCUUUCAGCGGGGAAGAUAAUGACUGUACCAGCAGAAGAAGCCCCGGCUAACUCCGUGCCAGCAGCCGCGGUAA
This 449-nucleotide ribosomal RNA is filed under the name uncultured bacterium. RNAcentral describes it as "partial 16S ribosomal RNA". It matches the Rfam family "Bacterial small subunit ribosomal RNA", at positions 29 to 523 of the family's 1533-position model. The record is from RNAcentral.